RNAcentral lists this ribosomal RNA (208 nucleotides) under uncultured bacterium. Its description in RNAcentral is "partial 16S ribosomal RNA". It matches the Rfam family "Bacterial small subunit ribosomal RNA", at positions 568 to 775 of the family's 1533-position model. The record is from RNAcentral.
UGCGUAGGCGGCGCGGUAAGUCGGGUGUGAAAUCUCGGAGCUUAACUCCGAAACUGCAUUCGAUACUGCCGUGCUCGAGGACUGGAGAGGAGACUGGAAUUUACGGUGUAGCGGUGAAAUGCGUAGAUAUCGUAAGGAAGACCAGUGGCGAAGGCGGGUCUCUGGACAGUUCCUGACGCUGAGGCACGAAGGUCAGGGGAGGCAAACG